UCCGGCUUAUCACCGGCGGUUUCUUUAGAGUGCCCAACUAAAUGAUGGCAACUAAAGACGAGGGUUGCGCUCGUUGCGGGACUUAACCCAACAUCUCACGACACGAGCUGACGACAGCCAUGCAGCACCUGUGUACUGGUUCUCUUUCGAGCACUCCCAAAUCUCUCCGGGAUUCCAGCCAUGUCAAGGGUAGGUAAGGUUUUUCGCGUUGCAUCGAAUUAAUCCACAUCAUCCACCGCUUGUGCGGGUCCCCGUCAAUUCCUUUGGGUUUUAACCUUGCGGCCGUACUCCCCAGGCGGUCAACUUCACGCGUUAGCUUCGUUACUAAUGGGUUUAACCCCACCAACAACCAGUUGACAUCGUUUAGGGCGUGGACUAC
This 379-nucleotide unclassified non-coding RNA is filed under the name uncultured Gammaproteobacteria bacterium. RNAcentral's name for it is "contains 16S-23S intergenic spacer region". The record is from RNAcentral. Lineage: Bacteria; Pseudomonadati; Pseudomonadota; Gammaproteobacteria.